Molecule: ribosomal RNA, 497 nt
Filed under: uncultured bacterium
Lineage: Bacteria
Description: partial 16S ribosomal RNA
Rfam family: Bacterial small subunit ribosomal RNA
Source: RNAcentral
GACGAACGCUGGCGGCGUGCCUAAUACAUGCAAGUAGAACGCUGAAGAGAGGAGCUUACUCUUCUUGGAUGAGUUGCGAACGGGUGAGUAACGCGUAGGUAACCUGCCUUGUAGCGGGGGAUAACUAUUGGAGACGAUAGCUAAUACCGCAUAACAAUGGAUGACACAUGUCAUUUAUUUGAAAGGGGCAAUUGCUCCACUACAAGAUGGACCUGCGUUGUAUUAGCUAGUAGGUGAGGUAAUGGCUCACCUAGGCGACGAUACAUAGCCGACCUGAGAGGGUGAUCGGCCACACUGGGACUGAGACACGGCCCAGACUCCUACGGGAGGCAGCAGUAGGGAAUCUUCGGCAAUGGGGGCAACCCUGACCGAGCAACGCCGCGUGAGUGAAGAAGGUUUUCGGAUCGUAAAGCUCUGUUGUAAGUCAAGAACGGGUGUUAGAGUGGAAAGUUCACACUGUGACGGUAGCUUACCAGAAAGGGACGGCUAACUACGUG